AGAGCGAACGCUGGCGGCAGGCCUAACACAUGCAAGUCGAGCGCCCGUAGCAAUACGGGAGCGGCAGACGGGAUAGUAACACGUGGGAACGCGCCCUUCGGUUCGGAAUAACUCAGGGAAACUUGAGCUAAUACCGGAUACGCCCUUACGGGGAAAGAUUUAUUGCCGAAGGAACGGCCCGCGUCCGAUUAGCUAGUUGGUGAGGUAAUGGCUCACCAAGGCUACGAUCGGUAGCUGGUCUGAGAGGAUGACCAGCAUCACUGGGACUGAGACACGGCCCAGACUCCUACGGGAGGCAGCAGUGGGGAAUAUGGACAAUGGGCGCAAGCCUGAUCCAGCCAUGCCGCGUGGAUGAUGAAGGCCUUAGGGUUGUAAAGUCCUUUUAACGGGGAAGAUAAUGACGGUACCCGUAGAAUAAGCCCCGGCUAACUUCGUGCCAGCAGCCGC
Molecule: ribosomal RNA, 447 nt
Filed under: uncultured bacterium
Lineage: Bacteria
Description: SSU rRNA
Rfam family: Bacterial small subunit ribosomal RNA
Source: RNAcentral